UGGGGAAUAUUGGACAAUGGGCGAAAGCCUGAUCCAGCAAUGCCGCGUGAGUGAUGAAGGCCUUAGGGUUGUAAAGCUCUUUUACCAGGGAUGAUAAUGACAGUACCUGGAGAAUAAGCUCCGGCUAACUCCGUGCCAGCAGCCGCGGUAAUACGGAGGGAGCUAGCGUUGUUCGGAAUUACUGGGCGUAAAGCGUACGUAGGCGGUGACUCAAGUCAGAGGUGAAAGCCUGGAGCUCAACUCCAGAACUGCCUUUGAAACUAGGUCGCUAGAAUCACGGAGAGGUGAGUGGAAUUCCGAGUGUAGAGGUGAAAUUCGUAGAUAUUAGGAAGAACACCAGUGGCGAAGGCGGCCAACUGGCUCGAUACUGACGCUGAGGUGCGAAAGCGUGGGGAGCAAACAGGAUUAGAUACCCGGGUAGUCCCUGAGCGGGCUGGCAAGGCGCAU
RNAcentral lists this ribosomal RNA (447 nucleotides) under uncultured bacterium. RNAcentral describes it as "bacterial SSU rRNA". It matches the Rfam family "Bacterial small subunit ribosomal RNA", at positions 355 to 825 of the family's 1533-position model. The record is from RNAcentral.